Molecule: ribosomal RNA, 449 nt
Filed under: uncultured bacterium
Lineage: Bacteria
Description: partial 16S ribosomal RNA
Rfam family: Bacterial small subunit ribosomal RNA
Source: RNAcentral
AUUGAACGCUGGCGGCAGGCCUAACACAUGCAAGUCGAACGGAUCCUUCGGGAUUAGUGGCGGACGGGUGAGUAACGCGUGGGAACAUACCCAAAGGUACGGAAUAGCCUCGGGAAACUGGGAGUAAUACCGUAUGUGCUCGAAAGAGGAAAGAUUUAUCGCCUUUGGAUUGGCCCGCGUUGGAUUAGGUAGUUGGUGGGGUAAUGGCCUACCAAGCCAACGAUCCAUAGCUGGUUUGAGAGGAUGAUCAGCCACACUGGGACUGAGACACGGCCCAGACUCCUACGGGAGGCAGCAGUGGGGAAUCUUAGACAAUGGGGGAAACCCUGAUCUAGCCAUGCCGCGUGAUCGAUGAAGGCCUUAGGGUUGUAAAGAUCUUUCAGGUGGGAAGAUAAUGACUGUACCACCAGAAGAAGCCCCGGCUAACUCCGUGCCAGCCGCCGCAGUAA